AAAUGAAUUGACGGGGACCCGCACAAGCAGCGGAGCAUGUGGUUUAAUUCGAAGCAACGCGAAGAACCUUACCAGGACUUGACAUAAUAUUGACCGGUAUAGAGAUAUACCUUUCUCUUCGGAGACAGUAUUACAGGUGGUGCAUGGUUGUCGUCAGCUCGUGUCGUGAGAUGUUGGGUUAAGUCCCGCAACGAGCGCAACCCUUAUCUUUAGUUGCCAGCACGUAAUGGUGGGAACUCUAAAGAGACUGCCGAUGAUAAAUCGGAGGAAGGUGGGGAUGACGUCAAAUCAUCAUGCCCUUUAUGUCCUGGGCUACACACGUGCUACAAUGGUUAACACAAAGAGAAGCUAAACAGCGAUGUCAUGCAAAUCUCAUAAAGUUAAUCUCAGUUCGGAUUGUAGGCUGCAACUCGCCUACAUGAAGUCGGAGUUGCUAGUAAUCGCAGAUCAGAAUGCUGCGGUGAAUGCGUUCCCGGGUCUUGUACACACCGCCCGU
RNAcentral lists this ribosomal RNA (496 nucleotides) under uncultured bacterium. RNAcentral describes it as "bacterial SSU rRNA". It matches the Rfam family "Bacterial small subunit ribosomal RNA", at positions 903 to 1397 of the family's 1533-position model. The record is from RNAcentral.